UAAAAUAUGUUAUGUUUUAAACUUGUUGUCUCUUAUAGCAAUGACCUUUAAAAAGCGAGUUUUAAAAACUAAUCAGAAAAUCACUGAAAUGUUCGUUUUAUGAAACCCUUUUGGACUAUUUCUGAAAGUAAAAUUUAACCCUUUGUGAAAUGUAUGAGAAAAAGUCUCUGGAAAAGUGACAACUUUUUUCAGAACUUUUUUUUUUAUUUUUUUCAAACAUUUUUAGUGUUGAAAAACCACACUUUGCAAUGUAAGAGUUUUCCUCACACUGUUUCACUUUAAAUUCACUUGAAUUUACUUUAAAAAAUACUUUAAAGAGCUCCUUUAACAGACAUUUUGACUGUUUUUAAAGAUUUUCUUUUUAAGUUGACGAAUUCUUUUAAAGUUUUUUUCCACAGUCGUUUCUACCUGUUAGGGAUGUUUUAAAUGUGUAAAUUUUUAAAUAAUAAUGAGGAGCAAGUUUAAAACGGCAUCGUUAAAUUAUUUCUUCUGGAACAAACUGUGUAUCCUACUUGAGAAUGGUAUUAGUGAUGGAAUGAGGUUAAAAUAUAUUUCCAAAUUUUUUCAGACCUUGUAAAUUAGCAAGUAUACAGUGGAAAGUGUGCGAUCCUGUAGAGAAAUCCAAAUUAGUGGAGGAUGCCAAAAAGCACUAUGCAGAAUACAUGGUUGCCAAAGAGUCUUUUGAAGCUUCAAUUUCUCCAGAAAUGAAAGAGAAGAUGAUCUCCUUAAAAGAAGAACGAAAAGAGCGCAGAAGGAAGUUGGCUGCUAAAAAAUUAGGCAAACCUGUAAAACCAUUGACAGUGUGGUCUUCGUUUGUGGCGUCUAAAGCGAGUGAUAGAGGAGAUAAACCCUUUGCAGACUUCAUUAAACAGGUAUCAGAACAAUGGUACCAGGUGGAUCUAAAAACAAAGCAAAAGUUAAGUGAAGCAUACCAUCAAAAAUUGGCUGCGUACAAGGUAGAAUUGGAAAAGUGGGAAGACGAGAUGAUACGCACCGGACAUCCAGAGCUUAUUAGACCUGGAAGACAAAUCCGAUCAAGAACUAAACUUGGAAAGUACAUAACUAAAAAAUCUAGUAAAAAAGAUACGUCUGAUGAGUGAUGUUCUCAGGAAGUAGGUUCAGUGAAGGCAUGUUUGUUUGAGAAAAAUCGUUUAUUUUUCUAUCAUGUAGAUAGUACUACCAUUAAUACCUCUCAGAAUUCUCCUUAAGUUGAAGUAAAUAACCUCGAGUGACUGUCAGUCCACGAUACCUCUCGUAAAUUCGUACGUAAGUGUACCUGAAUUGAUUUCCUUUAACUUCCGCUCAAGACCAAAGACUUCAACCUACUAUCAGUUGGCUUUUGUUUGCUGUGAAUUCUUGGUGGAAUUAAAGUAGUCAACCUUUUAUUGAAGUCACGAAUAAACUUAAAUUUUAGUCAUUGUUUCUGAUCUCCUCUUCAUUGAUACUCACUCUCUACAACUUGGGGCUCAAUCAUCAUUUGUUGAAAAUUCAUUUGGACAGACUUCCAUCUUCUUUUGUCACAUCUAAUCAUUCACACUCAGUAAAAUUUGUUGAGAAGUAACUAUUCUACUUUACCAGCAUCCCUGAAGCAUAGAGAAAAAAAGGAGGUGUUUGCAUCUUGAGGUUUGUUUACCCUGUGACGUAGGUCGGUACAACCUGGCCAGAGAAAUCCGGAAUUCGAAGUAGGAAAAACGGACCAUAAUGUCCCAUUUUUCUGCUUAAAUCAACUCAUGAUAUAAUUUCAAGCACUCUUUAUAGAAAGACUUUUUCUGUUAAAUUACACCAUUUCCAAGAAAAUCGAUGAUAAACGUCGCUGUACCGACCUACGUCAUCAAAAAAAUUCCAAGAUGCCCGAAAUGCAAACACCUCCUUUUUUUUCUCUAUGUCCCUGAAGGAAACAGGAGAAGAUUGUUUUUAAUGAGAGCAGUGCAGAUCAAAAACACGUCUCCUAUUUUCAAUUAACUAAAAUUGAGAAAUUUUGGUUAGCAAAAUAGGUCAAAUAACUUCCUAGUCCAGAGAAAAUUUAUUUCAUCCUUCCUCUUGGAAAAGAGCACCCCUUUCACUUUCUCUUCAUUUUUAGAGGUGGAUAAAUUGAUGCUUUCAAUUUUGAACCCAAGGAGUCUCAUUCAUUAGUUAAACCUAACAGUCCUCCUUUGAGAUUGAUUUCAGAAUGGCCAUUGAGUAAUUUUAAGUUUGUCACUGCCUACUGUGUGUGCCCUGCAGUUCAGUUAUGUUCAGUAUAUUGCAUCUAUCGAUUUUCAGCUUAAUCCUCUCAAAUCCUCCUAUGAAUGACAAAAUUUCAAUAAUCAAUAAACAGGUCAACCAACUUCAAUCUAAAACCAUCGCUUCUUAUUGGUUCCAAAAAGCCUGAAAUUCAGAUAUUGUUACGAAUAGAUUUUUGAAUAACGAUCUCAGAAAUUACACGUUUGCUCAUGUGAGUGGUCAUCAGUAAUUGCUUUGGUGAUGUCUUUCAUCAUGAAUAUCUCAAGCAGCAAAAGUUCCAUGGAGUCACUGAUAAUGGACUUUAUCUACAUGAACGGAUCACUCUGAAACAUCCUGCAUGCACGAUUCCUUUAAGGUCUUGUUUUGAUAGUGUCAUAGUGGAAGGUCCAAUCAUCGUCUCUUCAGCAUGGACUAGAAAGACGAGUUUGAAAAUGAAACGGGAGUAUUUAAUGGAUUAAUAGUUGUCUUGAAUCCAGAGGAAAGAAUAAGUUAGCAAUCCAAAAGUACUAUUAUGUGAGCAAACCUUUUUUAAGCACCGAGAGCAUGCAGAUUUUUUCUUAAAGAACAUUGUAAUCGUUCAGUAGUACUAGCUGUAAAAUUUCCUUCAACCUCUUAAAAGUACCAAUGCUGUAAUUGCGUUUUGAAGAUGUGCCUCAGUGAUUUCCCAACACUUAAUGACCAAGAAAAUUGUUUUCUGAUUUAGUAUAAAAAUUUUGCCUCGAACACUAAAAAUUGAACUUACUUGGAGGAACCACUGAAAAAUAGGAAAAGUAAUAGCAUCAAUUUUUGGUGAGCAUUGAAUUGCUUUGACGCCUCUAGAUUCUACUUCCCAUGACUUUUUAAUUUAUCGAAAAGAGGAAGUUGUCACAUAAAUUUUUACUCACCUGAAAAAAAGUCAAGAUCAACCCGGAUUUUCAACCUUCAUUUUUUUUUUUUGCCUCAGCUUCGGUCACACUAAUGAAGACUACAUGAAGAUCUCAUUUGUACUCUAAAGUCUUUAUCUCUUGCAGAUUGUACGCCUUUUUCUUGUCCUCCCUCGUAGUCAUAUUUCCAGGGUGUCUACCAGUCCCCGAUUUUGGAAGGGUGUCCCUGAUAACCUUGAAAGUCACAAUUUUCUGGUUCAGGUCCCCAAAAAAUGACAUAAAUCGUCCUAAACACCGGAAUUUCCAAAUUUUCCCGCCAGCCGCAGCGGCGCGGUAUAAUCAAGAAUAAAGAAACUGAAGUGUUGCUUUGUUUUUCGUAUGUUUUCAUCGGUUCAACAUGACUUGUAAAAUUAGUGUGUAAAAUGCGCCUUUUAACGCUCUAACUAGCUCCCUCUCUUACUAUUUCGGGGAAAAAAGUCUCCGAUUUUCUUGAAAAAAGUCCCCAAUUUGAUUUUUCAUAACUGGUAGACACCCUGAUUUCUGAUCCCCUUUGAAGAUAAUGCUUUAAUUUUUACCAAUAUUUAAGUUUUAUUUUAAUCACAGAGAGAGAGGAAGUCGGAAAGUUUUAAGGUGUUAUUACUGCUGAGUAGAAUUUCAAAAUCUUUUCAAGCUAAGGAAGACUGUAUUUGAUACAUCGGAAUGUAGUUUCCACUCAUAAAUUCAUUUGAAGUAAAUAGCCUCUCCUUCUG
RNAcentral lists this long non-coding RNA (3835 nucleotides) under Bemisia tabaci. RNAcentral's name for it is "lncRNA ENSSSA3NGG008665". The record is from RNAcentral. Lineage: Eukaryota; Metazoa; Arthropoda; Insecta; Hemiptera; Aleyrodidae.